GUAGGGUCAAAUAUGACGAGCAGGUGUCACCAUCUCACCACUAGGGGGGUGUCUGUGCAUCGUACAUGCGCUACCGUGUGAAAGAAGACGACGAGUGGCUGACGGGAGACUGACGUUGCACAGACACCACCACCAUUAAAACGGUUUACUUUUACAUGUGUUUAAGGGGAGAUUCUUUGGGGUAUGAAACACUGUUCAAGAAAACAAGGUACACGUCUUAGUUAAUGGCGAUUAUACAUUGAAAAGUCGUUGUUCUGUUGUAAAUGGUGUCAUUAUUAUAGGCAGGAGUAUGUGAACUAACUUGCUUAAAAACAGAAGCAUGCUAUAAAAUGGGAUUAAAAAGAAACAAGCUUGUAGAAGACAAGUUUACACAAAGUACUACCUACGCAUAGCAUGUAGCUGUAGCUAAGGUGACUCAUACAACACAAUACGAUACGAUCUGCAUGCGGCUACCAUCCCCCUUCCGCACAGCACAAUGCGCACAAGAAAGAAGUCACUACUGUGUGGUUAGUUAGUUUACCAGCUUUAUACAUAUCUCAUUUGAAUUGGUGCCAGGCAGUGCUGUAGUGGUAAAAUUAGAGGUGGGUAAACUCUGAAUUUUGUGAUCAUACAGACCUCGACGCGAUGCGAAGCAACGCAACACAAAGCGUCGCGACUGUGUAAGGCUGUCCUGGCUAUAUUGUAUUAUGUUAUCAGUAAAAGUUAUAUACAAUCAAUGACAAUGAAUAAAUGUGUUAGUAGUUUAUUACAUUUAAGAAAACAGUAAAGAAAAGUAUGUCAACACAACACAACAACACAAUUGCAGAUUAAGAACUAUCUCCUUUUUACAGUAGUGCCCAGAGAGCCUCCUUGUCCUCCACGUCAGGUCCUGCCUUGCACAGAGGAGCCAUGAAGCCCAGAACGCGUGUUCUGGGGUUCAUGGCUCCUCUGUGCUUCUCUCUCUCUAUUCGACCUGGUGUUUCUCCUCUCCCUGUGCUCUCUGCAUCACUGCCCGUCCUCUCACUUCCUGAAAAAAUAUGUUGAAUUUAAGAGUUAACCAGUUAAGCAGCCUGUCAAUUACACUGACACAUAAGUUAAAGGAACACUCAUGUACUACCUACGUCAUCAUAAAUAGCCUAUACAGCAUGUUUUUUUUUCACAAAGGUUGGGGACCACUGGGCUGAUCCGUGUGUUUACACACCUCCUGGAUCCUGAUUGGUCGCUGCUGCAGCCGCAAGGCACUGAUUGGCUGCUCACAGACCGUAAUACAGCGCAGAUGAAAAUUAUUUAGACUAUGGCGUUUAUAUGUUCAACAAUAGGAAACGUAGUCUUAGCUGUUUUAAAAUUACAACAAGUUUAUUUCGGAUUAUUCCAACGGAAUUAUACAAGGCGCAGGGAAGUUUGAGGUGCGUAAACACUAUUUAUAGGUGCGUAAACGCUAUUUCCAAAAUUUCAAGAGGUGCGUAAAUGGCGUUUACGUGCGUUUACCCUCCACUACAGCCCUGGUGCCAGGGGUUAGAUGAUGUAACGUAGGUAAGGUGUUCUUAAGCAACAUGGAUAGAUUCAAUCGUGUGUUACCUGACCUCGGUCGUGUUUUAGAAUGCGUACUCAAGGGACGAGAAGAAUGGGUUGAGCUGUAUUUUUGGAAAUACCGAAAGGGCCGUGGUUCUGCUCCCGAAAUACGCUAAUUAGCUUCAAUUAAAAGUGUUUUUUGUUGCACACUGACAAACACCUCAUCAGUAUGUUUUACGUAACACAAAGCGAACGCAACGCAAAUCAGAGAUAUAAAAGCUAGUAAACUAACUAACCACACAGCAGUGGACUCCAGGGCGGAUCCGCCGUCAGUUCGCCAGCUCCGCCCUGGGGUCAGCUCCGGUUUUGGUCUCACGCAUCAUAUCCACCCCGCCUACCGAUUUCUCAUUGUCAAACGGGACACCCGCUGCGGACACGAUUUGGAUCCGCACACGGAAGAGAUGUAUAAAGGGGUGUGAUGGCUGAAUGUGUGAAGUGCGUGUGACAACCUCUGGCGGUGAGGGCGGCAUGUGUGACGUACGUACAUGCAACAACUACGACGGGAGGACAACAGGAGGGUUAAGCUCCAUUUCACUAGCAAGGAGCACGCCAUCCACUGAAGGCGUUUGUCAUGAGUGAAAUUGAUUGAUUGAUGAUUAAUGAAUAUUUUAUCUGGUCGGUCGGGGUGGGUGGUGGAGAACUAUGUCGGAGGAUCCGCCGUGCGCCUGGUGGUUCGACGAACCCUUUCAGGGCCCUACGAAAAGCUGGGAAAAGAGGGAGAGGAAAGAAAAGGAAGGAAAAAGAAGUAAGUAAAGCGGGUUAUUUCGCUUCAUUCGCGUCCCAUUUUUUCCGUUUCAUUCGCGCCUAGAAGGGGGCAUGGCUUAUUUCCGUUACGUGUCUCCGUAAAGACAGUUAUCGUUUCUGCUAUCCAUCAUGGCAAUAAAUAACCACAAUUUCUGCUGUUUAUUUGUUUGUGAAAUUUGUGAAUUACACAAACGUGUUCGGGUUCAUGACAUCAUCCAUCGCCGCAUACAGCUUGAAUUUCAUCAACUUCUCCAGGAAGUGCGUCUGGAUGACUGCAGCUUCCAGCGCUGGUUCAGGCGGACCAGCAGCCGGUCUGAUGACCUGUUGUAUCGGCUGUCUCUCGGCUGUUGGGGCCAGCAACUCUCGGUUAGACACAAACUAACUUAUAGGCAUUCAGUCUCAGCUGUGUGUGUGUCUCUGGUGAGCGCCAGUGUAAUAAAGUGUAUUUACGCUGUGGCAGCAGGACGGCGGUGAUGGGCGCUUUAUUUAGUUUGCACGUUCGGCUUUUCGCGCGUUUUGCUUUUUCGCGCCGCGUCUUUCGCGUCGUUCGCACCGCUCACGCCAUUCACACCGCUUACGCCAUUCGCGCCAAUCAACGAGCAAAAAGUAAUGCCCAUACUUCCUUCUUAUGAGGGGGUCCGAGUCGGGGAACGUUCUUCUCAACUGUCUGCCUCUGAAGCCAGUGUCGACGAAAGGUUUUCACCGCUCCUCCAACGUCUUUCCACACCACACCGCCGCGCCCUGCCUAGGUGGAAGACCCCGAACAAGAAACUCGUCAUUUUAGGACACUCGCCCGCUCACUCACUCACUCGCGUGUGGUAAUGAACGCUUACCCGGGUCACAGAGGGCUGUGCGGCAGAUAGCUCAUGUCUAUCGCUGCGUGAUGAUGUGGACUUUGGCAUUGCGUUGAGAACCUCUCUUCAAGUCAGCGUAAAAAGAUCCCGCAACUGUAAACAAAUGGAAAGACAAACACAUUGCACUUGUAAAAAUAAUAAACAGUUCAGAGUUACUUUACUUACUUACUAAUACUUUUCCAAGAUUCAAGCUAAACAACCGCUCUCGCAAAAACCUCUGGUAACCCCCUUCUCUGUUGACUAGCAUUGACACAGAGCUCUACAC
Molecule: long non-coding RNA, 3414 nt
Organism: Gasterosteus aculeatus aculeatus (three-spined stickleback)
Lineage: Eukaryota; Metazoa; Chordata; Actinopteri; Perciformes; Gasterosteidae
Source: Ensembl